GAUGAACGCUGGCGGCGUGCCUAAUACAUGCAAGUCGAGCGAACAGAUGAGGAGCUUGCUCCUCUGACGUUAGCGGCGGACGGGUGAGUAACACGUGGAUAACCUACCUAUAAGACUGGGAUAACUUCGGGAAACCGUAGCUAAUACCGGAUAAUAUAUUUAACCGCAUGGUUCAAUAGUGAAAGACGGUUUUGCUGUCACUUAUAAAUGGAUCCGCGCCGCAUUAGCUAGUUGGUAAGGUAACGGCUUACCAAGGCAACGAUGCGUAGCCGACCUGAGAGGGUGAUCGGCCACACUGGAACUGAGACACGGUCCAGACUCCUACGGGAGGCAGCAGUAGGGAAUCUUCCGCAAUGGGCGAAAGCCCGACGGAGCAACGCCGCGUGAGUGAUGAAGGUCUUCGGAUCGUAAAACUCUGUUAUUAGGGAAGAACAAAUGUGUAAGUAACUAUGCACGUCUUGACGGUACCUAAUCAGAAAGCCACGGCUAACUACGUG
RNAcentral lists this ribosomal RNA (497 nucleotides) under uncultured bacterium. Its description in RNAcentral is "partial 16S ribosomal RNA". It matches the Rfam family "Bacterial small subunit ribosomal RNA", at positions 28 to 507 of the family's 1533-position model. The record is from RNAcentral.